Pimephales promelas (fathead minnow) is the source of this 828-nucleotide non-coding RNA. The record is from RefSeq and is a predicted model, not a curated record. NCBI's taxonomy places the organism in Eukaryota, Metazoa, Chordata, Actinopteri, Cypriniformes, Leuciscidae.
CGGAGAAGUAACGUUAGGACACAGAACAAGUUUGUGACUGACUUAAUGAACCCAGUUGGUUUGGAUCAUGCUCAGAGAUGUAAGGGUUACAAAAAGUUAACCAGAACUCUUAUGGACUCCAUCUUGUCUUCAAAGAGAUGGCAACAUGAACGGGAAAAAAGGGGUUGUUGGUGAAAAAAGAGCCUUGACCUACAAAAGGUGCAGCUAAUAAUUGACUAUGUCAAAAAGAGGCACCCAGGCAUCGGAGGCACUGAGAUCAAGGUCUGCAUGGCACAAAAGUUAAGAGAUCUGAGGAGACGAGCAGAAAGGAUGCCUGCUGAAGGAGACACAAAGGACUGAGACAAUACACAUUUACAAAAGCACACCACUCACACACACAUGCGUGUAUACCUGCGUUUUUUGUGGCUUUUUAUGUAUUUAUGUAUAAUAUGUGUGCUAAACAAAAGUGUAUAUAGUUUCUCAUUGAUAAUUGUCUUGAGAUAUUCACAUUUAUAAACUUGUAUUAUUAUAAUCUCCUAAAGUCUUAGAAUUUUUAUGUUUUCAUGUUCAUGAUUAUUUUUUAUUUAAUUUUGUAAUACAUGUUGUUUAUAAAAAUACAUGUUCACGGCUUUUAUAUAUAGAUAAAUUUUUUUGCUUACAUUCAAUUUAUUGUAAUGAUUUUAUAUUCAUACAAUCAAUUGUUUUAAUUUUUAAAAAUAAUAUUACUAUUCAGGUCAAUGUGAACAAUAAACAAUGUCAGUUUCUCAUGAUAUUUAAUUAGUAUAUGAUCAUAUGUCCUACUUACAAUUAUUAAAUUAUUACAGGCUAAUCUCUUUAGUUUUAGAAUCU